CUGUGCAGCAAUGGCGAUGGCAGUGGCGGUGGUGGUGCGGCGAUGGUGAGGGUGGCAUGGCGAUGGCAACAGCCCUAGGAGAAGAAAACACUGUAAGAGAGGGAGAGAGAGAGAAAGUGAGGGAGGGAGAGGGAGAAACUAGGGAAGGACGAUGCCGGUGAUGGUGGAGGGAGGGCAACAGCGGUGGCACACUCGACCGGAGAGGGAGGAUGAUGGCGCUGAUCUCGAUCGGGAAGGGUGGCGCGCUCGAUCGACGGCGAUGGCAUGAGAGAGUGAGAGAGAGAGACGGGCAAUGGUGAUCGAGGAGGGAUCGAGGAGGGAGGAUGACGAUCGAGGAGCGAUCGGGGAGGGAGGAUGCUCGCCAAUGCCGAUCUCGACUAGGAAGGGUGGCACACUCGACCGACGGUGACGGUGUGAGAGGGCAAGAGAGAGAUGGUCGAUGGCGAUCGGGGAGGGAGGACGGUGAUCAGGGAGGGAUCGAGGAGGGAGGAUGCUCGUCGGUGUCGAGCUCAACCGGGGAGGGAGCAAGGUGUCGGCAGCAUGGGCAAGGAGAUGGGUUCAUGCAUUUUGAAUUGGGGCAAAAUUUUAUCCUAAAAUAAUAUAUUUUUUUUCAAACUAAACAAUCUUUAACGAACGAAAUUAUUUCAUCACAAAAUAUAAAAAUUUUAUCGUAAAAAAUAAUAUUUUUUGUAAAUAAAAAUUUUUUAUCGUAAAUGAUUAAAUUUUAGCAAUAAAAAAUUUAUUUCAUCGUAAAUAAUUUUUUUUGGAGACAACGGUGGUGGCAGAGGGAG
This 791-nucleotide long non-coding RNA is filed under the name Elaeis guineensis (African oil palm). RNAcentral describes it as "long non-coding RNA (EGUI_LNC032244)". Lineage: Eukaryota; Viridiplantae; Streptophyta; Magnoliopsida; Arecales; Arecaceae. The record is from RNAcentral.